Molecule: long non-coding RNA, 728 nt
Filed under: Homo sapiens (human)
Lineage: Eukaryota; Metazoa; Chordata; Mammalia; Primates; Hominidae
Description: HSALNT0208195
Source: RNAcentral
ACUUUCCUAGGGGGGCGGAGCGCGGUGUGUGCGAGAGCGCCGGGGGUGUCCGCGCAGGGAUAGCUGGUGUGCGUGCAGCGGAAGGCGCUAACUGCCCUGGAUGUGGAGACCCGCGGACUGGACGGUGGGGACUGUGGGAGAGAUGGAGAGAGACUGGUACAGAAAUGGUGAGACAAGGAGAGAGCCAUAAAGAGGAAGACAGAGAGAAAGAAGACAAAUGCAUAAAGAGGUUCAGAGACGUGUGACUGUGGAGAUCGAAGGCCUGGUUUUAGGGCUAGCGAACACCUUCUCCCUUUGGUUUUGGUCCACAGAAGACUGGUGAUACAGAGUAAGUAUUAAGAGGAAGAAAAGAAAUGCCGUGUAGAGGAAAUUGCAAAUGAAAAUGAUCAGGAUGGAAAAGAGGCUGAUAUUGCAUUGUCUCCCUGACCUCAUCUCCCCUGAGAAUCAGCCUCUGUUUCCCUGGUCAAGGCCACGGCUUUUCUCUGAUCCUGAGGAGAGUUUCCUACCAGAGUGGAAGCAGGGAGGACUGAAAGCACUAGGAACAGAGGGGAGCUAUCGGAUUGCAUCUAGAACCUGCUGUGGCGGUAUUAACCUGCACUGGUCAUGUUCGGUUUCCACUGCAGAGCAAGACAAGUAGUCACAGGGAAGCAAAAGGCGUUGGUCCUCAGGUCCAAAAUGCCUCAUGAUACUGGAUCGGUUGGCAAAAAGCUAAGGCAGGAACCCAGGAG